UUUUUUUUUUUUUUUUUUUUUUUGGUCUUUUUGUUUUUGCAGGGCCGUACCCGUGGCAUAUGGAGCAGCCCAAGAAAUAGCAAAAAGACAAAAAAAAAAAAAAAAAAAAAAAAAAAAAGACCAUUAAUAAUACAUGACAAUGUUCACAAGGUGAUGUUAAGUGCUAAAAGUUCAAAACCGAAAGUACAAUGACAAGGGUUGGUGAGAAAGCGAGGUAACAGGAAGAGUCCUAAGGCAGUGAUGAGAGUGUAAAUGGCUACAAACACUCAGAAAAGCGGUUUGGCAUCAUCUCCUGAACUUGUAGAUAUGCAGCCUCCAACUGAUGUCUGCAAGCUGAUAUCAGAACAGAACCUGCACUCCUAGCAGUUACACAAUGGAAAUGAGGGCACGUAUGCACUGAAAGAUCUAUUAAAAGAAUGUUCAUAACAGCAUUAUUCGAAAUAGGCCCAACCUGGAAAAGCCCAAACAUCCAUCAAAAAUAGUGUGGAUAAACAGAUUAUGGUAACAGAACAUUGUAAAUCAACUAUAAUAGAAAAAUAAAAAUCUUUUAGAAAAUAGAUUAUGGUAGAUUCAUACAAUGGGGAAAAAAAAACCCUCAGUGCAAAUGCAUAAACUCUACUCACAACAGGGCUGAAUCUCACAAAUGUAAUGCUGAGAAAAAGAAAACAGACACAAAAGAGUAUAUACAAUAUGCCUCUAAUUAUAAACAGAAGCCUAAUAAUAGACAAAAGUAAUUUAUGAUAGACGACAGAAUAUUCUUGUCAUCUAUCACAAGGGAGAGGGUACACAUUUGUAGGGGGCUUGAACAGAGGUUUCAGAGGGGCUAGUAACAGUCCAGUUCUUUACCUGGGGGAUCGUUACAUAGCCAUUUUCAAUUAGCCACAAUUUAUCAAUUUGUACACUUUUCAGUGCACAUGUCAUAUCUUGAUUUUUUUAAAUGCUUUAAAAUGUAUAUUAUGGUCCAAAUUUGGCUGACGAAAGAAUGAGAUCGUAUGUGUGAGUGUAUCAGAAAAGCAACCAACAGAACUACAUGAAAAUCUUGAGAAAGUAGAGUUCCCACUGUACCUCAGUGGUUAAUGAAUCCAACUAGGAACCAUGAGAUUGCAG
Molecule: long non-coding RNA, 1107 nt
Filed under: Sus scrofa (pig)
Lineage: Eukaryota; Metazoa; Chordata; Mammalia; Artiodactyla; Suidae
Description: lncRNA (ENSSSCG00030059776.1)
Source: RNAcentral